This is a long non-coding RNA of Pseudopipra pipra, 977 nucleotides long. RefSeq lists it as uncharacterized. The transcript has 3 exons. The record is from RefSeq and is a predicted model, not a curated record. NCBI's taxonomy places the organism in Eukaryota, Metazoa, Chordata, Aves, Passeriformes, Pipridae.
GUUUCAGUAGAAAACUGCUGUGAGAAUUAAUCAGAGUGUGAAGUGAAACAUCCUCAAACCUUUAGCAGAUAAGUGAGAAGUCAUUAAAGCAGAGAACCCUAAUGUGAAAAGCAGAAGUUGUUUCCAUGACAAAGAAUGGGCUCUAAGCUGUAAGCAACAGCAUCUGUUGGCUUAUAACAGCAGUGAUCAUCCAUACUCUGUCUGACUACAUGUAAGUGGACAACAAUAGGACUAGCAAAUUUCUUUGGAGAGAUGAACUGAGGAAAUUGGGUUACAGGACUUCAGUAAAAUAAAACAGACACAUUCAUUUCCCAGUAGUACCUUGCAGAAGGAAUUGCUCGCUGUCUUUCUUAAAAUAAUUCUUGGGUGCAUUACAGUGAGGGGACAAUGUGAUUGACCAUCCUUGCAUCCAAGUACCAUGCAGAGUAUAUACAACUACAAAUGUGUAGCUACAAAAGUAGCUCUUUACUUUUAGGUAUAUUGUUCUGGCUAUAUACAUUCUCUGUAUCAUCAGAAAAGGCCUGAAAGAUACAGAAUAAUCAGCAUGUACUUUUAACCUUACAGAACAUGGCUACUUAAGUGAUUUCUAGGUGGAAGAAGAGCAGUAUAAUUGGACUGAGUUUUCACAUAAAUCCUUUCCAACAGGAAAUGCAGCUCUUUUACUGAUAAUAUACAUAAAGCUUCUUACUGAAAAAUGCUGGUUAAAGAAAUUAAUGAUUCCGAAUAUGUGUAGAGAGACAUAUCAAAAGGCAUAGAUUUAAGAAUAAUUCUAUUUGCUUCCAAAGUUACUUGUUCAGUGUUAGAAGGAAAUUGUGAUGACACUUCUUAAGUAUCUUCAUUAUAAUUAUCAUAUUAAAAGGCAUACUCUAUCAAAAACAUUAUGCUGAAUUUAUUUUGUAUUUUCUAGGGCACAAUGUUAAUUUAUAUGCACACACAGAGAUAUAUGUGUCCGCAUACAUUUUUUUUAACUAAUUACA